Molecule: ribosomal RNA, 497 nt
Filed under: uncultured bacterium
Lineage: Bacteria
Description: partial 16S ribosomal RNA
Rfam family: Bacterial small subunit ribosomal RNA
Source: RNAcentral
GAUGAACGCUGGCGGCGUGCCUAAUACAUGCAAGUCGAGCGAACAGAUGAGGAGCUUGCUCCUCUGACGUUAGCGGCGGACGGGUGAGUAACACGUGGAUAACCUACCUAUAAGACUGGGAUAACUUCGGGAAACCGGAGCUAAUACCGGAUAAUAUAUUGAACCGCAUGGUUCAAUAGUGAAAGACGGUUUUGCUGUCACUUAUAGAUUGAUCCGCGCCGCAUUAGCUAGUUGGUAAGGUAACGGCUUACCAAGGCAACGAUGCGUAGCCGACCUGAGAGGGUGAUCGGCCACACUGGAACUGAGACACGGUCCAGACUCCUACGGGAGGCAGCAGUAGGGAAUCUUCCGCAAUGGGCGAAAGCCUGACGGAGCAACGCCGCGUGAGUGAUGAAGGUCUUCGGAUCGUAAAACUCUGUUAUUAGGGAAGAACAAAUGUGUAAGUAACUAUGCACGUCUUGACGGUACCUAAUCAGAAAGCCACGGCUAACUACGUG